Triticum dicoccoides is the source of this 1369-nucleotide long non-coding RNA. RefSeq lists it as uncharacterized. Lineage: Eukaryota; Viridiplantae; Streptophyta; Magnoliopsida; Poales; Poaceae. The transcript has 4 exons. The record is from RefSeq and is a predicted model, not a curated record.
UCGUCGGGUGGGCGGUGUCGGUGCUGUGUUGUUUCCAUUUUGACCCAAAUCCGCCGCCACUCAAAUCAAAGCUCGGCGGAACCGCCAGAGUUGGGAGGCGCACAGGGUGGAGCGGCCUCACAAGGAGGGGGAGAGUGAGGUCCGGAGCGGCAACCGCGUGGUGGCCGAACAUCUCAGCGGGGCGGAGGACAGGACGGUCGCGCGGUGACGUUGCGUGCAUCGGCAAGUGACGAGGCAGUUCUUCGAUCAAAAUAUCCCCGAGAUGCAAGCGCAAGCGAUUGUCCCCGGCGAUCUCAGAUUUUUUUCGCCCAUAUACUGAUGCAAGUGAUCCUCUACUACCCAGGAGUGUUUGCCGAUUUGCGGGAGGGCGACAGUGAGGACUGCAUGGACAAGCAGUGGCAAGUGGGACAGGCAUGAGGACCUAUUCACCGCUCUAAGAGGGACAUCGAAGGAACUAGAAGUGGAGGGCACAGUGACACCAUGUUCGUUCGUCUUCAUGAGUGCACAACAAUGGUUGUCAGUUGAAGGGGUGAAGCUCUCAUCUGGAAAGAGAUUUGGGAUGAAGAAGACCAGCGGAUGCUGGGGAAAGAAGGAAGGUGUCAGUUCGGUGAGGGGGGAAGGGCAAUGUGGAGCAUGGGGGAGGGGAAGAGCUCACGUGUUUCCCCCCUGCACGUGAUCGGGAGCACGGACCAGGAGAGUUUCCUUUUGUGGUCGGGAGACUAAAGGGGGACAAUUUUUAAACUAAAAUGGAAAGUGUGCCACGGGACGCUAGGGAGCAAUGUUUGCUCCCUAGUCACGUCCCUUUUCUAAUAAGACGUGAUUAUGGUGGGGCCCUGACCCAUGUGUGCAUGUUAUGUUGACCGUCGAGACGGAGGGACCUUGCAGCCACGUGGGCUAACGGAUGGGGUGGACCUGUGAUGUCAGAGCCGGGCCAGACCAUCAUCACUAAGCCGAGCAUGGAAAUACUUCAUGGCUAAGGAAUGACCGCACGGCAAAGAUUUUCGACGUCUGGAUUGGCAUGGAAACGACGAGGUGCUUGGCGGAAACCGAGGUGGGAAUGAAGCUCCUCGGAUGCAAUCCAGCAAUCAAGAUAUUGAUACGUGAGGAUUCGCUGAAUCAAUUUUCAAGACCGACGACCUAAAACAAAGAUCUGCUUAGAAGAACCGAGGUGCGUCUAACUUGAACACCGGUUCAGGGGCUACUGAUGAUGUCCUAGCUAGGCGGUCUCUCAUCAAGUCGUCUUUCCUGGCUAGAUGGGUCGGGCCAAGGACCCCCAUAUCGGUUCACCAAUGGGCCACGCCGAGUGGCCCAUGGCAUAUGAAAGGAAAGCUCCUGAAAACUUGACAUAUACUCUUAAGAUAUUGAAACU